This 465-nucleotide ribosomal RNA is filed under the name uncultured bacterium. RNAcentral describes it as "partial 16S ribosomal RNA". It matches the Rfam family "Bacterial small subunit ribosomal RNA", at positions 28 to 507 of the family's 1533-position model. The record is from RNAcentral.
GACGAACGCUGGCGGCGUGCUUAACACAUGCAAGUCGUACGGUAAGGCCCUUUCGGGGGUACACGAGUGGCGAACGGGUGAGUAACACGUGAGUAACCUGCCCACAACUUUGGGAUAACGCUAGGAAACUGGUGCUAAUACUGGAUAUGUGCUCCAGCUGCAUGGUGGGGGUUGGAAAGCUCCGGCGGUUGUGGAUGGACUCGCGGCCUAUCAGCUUGUUGGUGGGGUAGUGGCCUACCAAGGCGGCGACGGGUAGCCGGCCUGAGAGGGUGACCGGCCACAUUGGGACUGAGAUACGGCCCAGACUCCUACGGGAGGCAGCAGUGGGGAAUAUUGCACAAUGGGCGCAAGCCUGAUGCAGCAACGCCGCGUGCGGGAUGACGGCCUUCGGGUUGUAAACCGCUUUCAGCAGGGACGAAGCUUUUUGUGACGGUACCUGCAGAAGAAGCACCGGCUAACUACGUG